This 2127-nucleotide ribosomal RNA is filed under the name Triticum aestivum (bread wheat). RNAcentral describes it as "partial small subunit ribosomal RNA". Lineage: Eukaryota; Viridiplantae; Streptophyta; Magnoliopsida; Poales; Poaceae. The record is from RNAcentral.
AUGGUUGGAGGGCCUAUAGACUUCUGGAAUGCGUGGGCGGUUCAGAGCCUGGUGCUGACGAGCCUAACUCUGCAGGUUGCCCUCGUCCUGUUAGCGGGGAUCCGGCGGCGUGGCACAUCCUGGCGUACGUUCAGGUUCAUGCUCUGGCUGGCGUACCAGCUCGCCGACGCCACCGCGAUAUAUGCUCUCGGCCACCUCUCAUUCGACGGCGCCACACCCCGCGAGCAUCGCCUGGUUGCGUUCUGGGCGCCAUUUCUCUUGCUGCACCUUGGCGGCCCGGAUAACAUCACCGCCUACUCGCUCGAAGACAACAUGUUGUGGCUGCGACACCUACUUAAUCUCGGUUUGCAGGUGCUGGGAGCUUCCUACGUCCUCUACAAGCAUUACAUCGGCACUCAAGACAUGCUCCUUCUCGCCGCCAUCUUGAUGUUCGUCGUCGGUGUUGUCAAAUAUGGCGAGAGGACGUGGGCGCUCAGGUGCGGCAACAUGGACAUCAUCCGGGGCUCCCUCAAGAAGAAACCACCUCCCAGAUGUGACCUUCUUUACCUUGAGUAUGAGCUCCCACAAGGUGGAUGCAAGGGUAGUGUCGAUGAAGAAGAAUUCCUCAUGCGGCAUGCUCAUUCCCUGUUUCAGUUCUGCAAGCGCGCAAUAGUUGAAUCGUCAGAGGACAGGGACAAAAACAACCCUGAAAUCAAAGUUCUUGAGCACCUCACACAUGAACAGUUGUAUGUGGUGAUGGAGUUGGAGCUGUCACUGCUCUACGACAUCCUGUACACAAAGGCAGGCGUGGUGCAUACCUCAUUUGGUUACUGUGUCUGUAUCGCCUCACCAGCCGCUACUGCAGUAGCGCUGUUGUUCUUCCAGUUCAGUGGCAAAGAUGGUAACAGCAGAGUCGAUGUUGCUAUCACCUACAUCUUACUGGGUGGUGCAUUACUCCUGGAGAUAAGAUCCCUGCUGAGUGCACUUGGGUCUAGUUGGACACUCCCCUUCCUGUGUGCCACAAGAUGGAAUUUUCUGAAACAUGCAUUUCUCUGCAGGGGGGGAUGGGAUCGGCUUCGCCGUUGGAUAGUAUCUCUUCACCGGCUCAUAAAGGUCAUGAGAGUUAGUGGGUGCUUGAGGCCGGCAAGGAGGUGGUCAGGUACUGUGGGGCAAUAUAACAUGUUGCAUUUGUGCAGCCGUCCCAGCAAAAGGAACAGUCCUCUGCCCGGUAGAUUUGCCAUGAUGCUGGGAUUCGAGGAGUGGUGGAACAGGGAGCAUCACUCACAGACCGCCAGGAUUUCAGAGUACCUGAAGAAGGAAUUGAGGCUUUACAUUCUUGAAUUAGUCAGUAAGGGCCAGGUGAGCACCCAAGGCAUUGUGAGGAAAAAAUGGGGUGAGUAUGCAAUCCAGACGAAAUGUACGAAUCUGUACAAAAAGCUGAAAGACAACCUACUACUACUAGGCGUUGAGUUCCAAGAGGGCAUCAUUAUCUGGCACAUCGCCACCGACCUCUACCUCCUCGACGACAAGCACACUGGGAUUGAAACCAUGGAAGGCCAAGCAAUGUAUGAGUCGGUGAGGGUGUUGUCCAACUACAUGAUGUUCCUCCUGGUGGAACGUCCCUACAUGUUACCAGGCCUUGCUCAGAGCAGAUUGUACCGGCGGACCUGUGAGAAUCUAGUCAAAAUAUGGGGCCAAGAAGGCCAAACGCACCAAGCCCCCAGCUGGGGCGACAUGUUCCGCCUUCGUGAUGGCCCCAAUUCCCGCUCUAGUCUCCAACGGAGAAAGAAGCUUGCCGACAUGGUACAAGACAAGAAACCAAAACCCGGCCCUGAAACCCCCCGUCUCAGUUACGCAAUCGUAGUAGCCCAAGAACUGGUCAGUAACGACGAGAACCUAGACGGUGAGUACAGCUCAUUGCGGGUGCUCCUCUUCGUGUGGAUGGAUUUCCUGGUCCACGCGGCAAACAGGUGCAGCAGGGAGUCCCACGCCAAGAAGCUUAGCAGUGGAGGUGAGUUCACAACCGUCCUCUGGCUUCUCAUCGAGCACCUCCACCAACUAGUCGAGCCUAAUCCACCGCCACCGUCAGCGGAGGACGGGGAUGAAACUAAGGGCACCGAGCGCGCAGCCGUGGACAAAUACUUGUAA